Molecule: ribosomal RNA, 1253 nt
Filed under: Petasiger sp. 2 AK-2014
Lineage: Eukaryota; Metazoa; Platyhelminthes; Trematoda; Plagiorchiida; Echinostomatidae
Description: eukaryotic LSU rRNA
Rfam family: Eukaryotic large subunit ribosomal RNA
Source: RNAcentral
CCCUCAGUAACGGCGAGUGAAGAGGGAAGAGCCCAGCACCGAAGCCUGUGGCCGUUUGGCCCCUAGGCAAUGUGGUGUUCAGGUUAGCUCGCGGGGAUGCUGCUCCACCCUAAGUCCUAAAAUGAGUAAGGUUACUCGGACGUGGCCCAUUGAGGGUGAAAGGCCCGUGGGGGUGGAGAGUCAGACUGGCCAGUAUCUCCCUGAGCAGACCUUGGAGUCGGGUUGUUUGUGAAUGCAGCCCAAAGUGGGUGGUAAACUCCAUCCAAGGCUAAAUACUAGCACGAGUCCGAUAGCGAACAAGUACCGUGAGGGAAAGUUGAAAAGUACUUUGAAGAGAGAGUAAACAGUGCGUGAAGCCGUUCAGAGGUAAACGGGUGGAGUUGAACUGCAAGCUCUGAGGAUUCAACUGGUGAGAAUGGCGUGAGCUUGGUCACGUGGGCUGUACUGCUGUGUCUGCUUAGCUGCAGGUCCUCGCCUUGGUGGGGAUGCGCGUCUAGCUUAUCAAGCUUUGCGCGCACGGUGUUAAACGAGCCCGCUCGCCAGUGCACUUUCUCAGAGUGUUCACCACGACCGGCGUUGCUGUCUGGCUGAUGGGGUUAAACCGGUCUUGUAGGGUCCUUGUGGCCUUGCUUGGUCGGGAUGGCAGGUAGCCCGUUGUGUAUUUAUAUGCUUCGGGUGUAAUAGCCGACUUCAUCGGUUCUGUGCGGUACGUCGGAGACGGCGGCUUGUUGUGCGUGCGGGCGUGCCUGUGUGCUGGCGGCUCUGGGUCUGGUUGCCUUGUUGCUUGCGAAUGCAGGCCAGGUGAUGGCUCGGGGUCGUUUGGUGUGCGGUUGCGUUCGUGGCACUUUAAAGGGCCAACAGUCUGUGGUGUAGUGGUAGACUAUCCACCCGACCCGUCUUGAAACACGGACCAAGGAGAGUAACAUGUGCGCGAGUCAUUGGGCGUUACGAAACCCAAAGGCGUAGUGAAAGUAAAGGUUCGGCUUGUCUGGACUGAGGUGAGAUCCUGUCGUUUCUCACGCAUGGUACUACCAAGCAUUGAGCGGCGGGCGCAUCACCGGCCCGUCCCAUGACGUAGUGGUGGCUUCGGCUUGCCCAUCGUCGGGGCGGAGCAUGAGCGUACAUGUUGAGACCCGAAAGAUGGUGAACUAUGCUUGCGCAGGUUGAAGCCAGAGGAAACUCUGGUGGAGGACCGCAGCGAUUCUGACGUGCAAAUCGAUCGUCAAACGUGAGUAUAGGGGCGAAAGACUAAU